GGAAAAAAAGCUCAGUCAGUUGAGCGUGAUGCUAACAACACCAAGGUCGUGGGUUCAAUUCCUGUUCGGUCCC
This 73-nucleotide transfer RNA is filed under the name Apaloderma vittatum (bar-tailed trogon). It matches the Rfam family "tRNA". From Rfam's summary of the family: Transfer RNA (tRNA) molecules are approximately 80 nucleotides in length. Their secondary structure includes four short double-helical elements and three loops (D, anti-codon, and T loops). Lineage: Eukaryota; Metazoa; Chordata; Aves; Trogoniformes; Trogonidae. The record is from Rfam by way of RNAcentral.